This 661-nucleotide ribosomal RNA is filed under the name uncultured bacterium. RNAcentral describes it as "bacterial SSU rRNA". It matches the Rfam family "Bacterial small subunit ribosomal RNA", at positions 57 to 710 of the family's 1533-position model. The record is from RNAcentral.
GCAGUCGACGGUAACAGGAAGAAGCUUGCUUCUUUGCUGACGAGUGGCGGACGGGUGAGUAAUGUCUGGGAAACUGCCUGAUGGAAGGGGAUAACUACUGGAAACGGUAGCUAAUACCGCAUAACGUCGCAAGACCAAAGAGGGGGACCUUCGGGCCUCUUGCCAUCGGAUGUGCCCAGAUGGGAUUAGCUAGUAGGUGGGGUAACGGCUCACCUAGGCGACGAUCCCUAGCUGGUCUGAGAGGAUGACCAGCCACACUGGAACUGAGACACGGUCCAGACUCCUACGGGAGGCAGCAGUGGGGAAUAUUGCACAAUGGGCGCAAGCCUGAUGCAGCCAUGCCGCGUGUAUGAAGAAGGCCUUCGGGUUGUAAGUACUUUCAGCGGGGAGGAAGGGAGUAAAGUUAAUACCUUUGCUCAUUGACGUUACCCGCAGAAGAAGCACCGGCUAACUCCGUGCCAGCAGCCGCGGUAAUACGGAGGGUGCAAGCGUUAAUCGGAAUUACUGGGCGUAAAGCGCACGCAGGCGGUUUGUUAAGUCAGAUGUGAAAUCCCCGGGCUCAACCUGGGAACUGCAUCUGAUACUGGCAAGCUUGAGUCUCGUAGAGGGGGGUAGAAUUCCAGGUGUAGCGGUGAAAUGCGUAGAGAUCUGGAGGAAUACC